This 1509-nucleotide long non-coding RNA is filed under the name Cairina moschata (Muscovy duck). RNAcentral's name for it is "domestica (muscovy Duck (domestic type)) lncRNA (ENSCMMG00000005502.1)". The record is from RNAcentral. Lineage: Eukaryota; Metazoa; Chordata; Aves; Anseriformes; Anatidae.
UCCGUACUCUGCUGUUUUUUAUUUUGCAUCUUUACUGAAAGUCACACAGCCAAAAAGAUCUUCUCUGGCAUCUAGAAGACUCAUGCAGAGAAGCAAGAAGCUGGAAGGAUAAGAUGGGAAAAAUUAUGUGAGUAAAAGCAAAUGGGGAAAAAUUGUGUUUAAUGGCAUUUUAAGAAGAUGCAGAUGAACCUUAACUUCAUAUGACUUUUUUUUUUUUUUUUUUUUUUUAAGCAAAACCACCCUGAAAAACAUUAUAAUAAUUAUCUGUAUUAUUUUUUUCACCUAGCAGAAUGUCUGAAGAAUAAUUAGUUUGUGGAUGCAGAACUAGAAGAUGUUAAGGAGAAACACAUUUUCUGAAAAGUAAUGCUGAAGGUCAUGUCCUCAAUGUAUUUGUGUAUUUCUUUCUAGCGCAACUGGGGGUGAAAUGACACAGGUCAAUAUUGGGAAUUCAUAUUGAAAUUCUUGCCUAACUCUUGUUUCUCUGAGUAUUCUGCUGAAUUCUUUGUGGCUGUCCACAGUGGCAGAAGGGAGCAAAUCCAUCGUCCUGCACCAGCCCUUGCAGAUGUGAAAUUUGCAGGUUCCACCAAAUGGUGGAUGUGUUGUUACAUGUGUUGCAUAUGUAUUGCAUAACACAUACAUGUAUAUGUAUUGUAUAACACAUAUAUUGUUAUCCCUGACUUUCCUGCACUGCAAUUUCCCCACUGGGAACUGGUAGGACCUUAUCUUUAAGGAUCAUCCCUGGAGGCCACUCAAGGGUAGUACCAUCAUGGCAAUGUAAUCUGGAUGCAUAUUCUUUUCUCUGGCUUAUUUCCAUGGUGCCAGUAAUAAUGUGCAUGGUCCUACUUACUCUGCUCUGUCCCUCUCUGUUUCAGGGGAGAAUAUGGCCCAGGGCAUCCUUCCGUUCCAUGUAUCAUGCUUCCAUUUCCCUUCACCCCACAGGAGAUGAAGAACUUCAGAUUGAUGGAAGAGCUGACCUGUUUUUGGCUGCUUGGGUCUUUUUCCAAACCAGAAGAUGAUAAAGUGCUUCCCAAUACUGGAUGAAGACAAAAGAAAGUGUCAUCGACACAAGCAGUAAAAUAAGCUGAAUAAGCUUGUUUGGACUCCUGGUUACUAAUCUAAUCCUUUUACAAUCAUUUUUGGCUCUAGAAAUAAGAACUAUUUGCAAAAUAAACUUUUUUUUUUUUUUUUUGUAAUGCCCCAGUCAGAUUAUUGCAAAUGUUGAAUCUCAUAUCCUUGAUCUAGUCUUUCAAACUUCAAUAACUGCCAAUCUUUACUUACUACAGAAUGUUGGUAUACUCUGCGUAAAUCUAUGGACAGUUAAAUUUUUGGAAAGUGCUUAUAAAUUGUUCCCUGAAGUCAAUAUAUAUCAGUAGAUACAGCUAAAAUAAAACACAGACAGUGGUUUGAGGUUUCUGGAGACUCCCAAUAUUCCUACUGAAAAAAAAAAUCUUAGCUUUAUUUUUUCCACUGCUAUUUCACAGACCAGUUUUCUUACAUCAUAGAUCUUUC